RNAcentral lists this ribosomal RNA (253 nucleotides) under uncultured bacterium. RNAcentral's name for it is "partial 16S ribosomal RNA". It matches the Rfam family "Bacterial small subunit ribosomal RNA", at positions 524 to 776 of the family's 1533-position model. The record is from RNAcentral.
UACGAAGGGGGCUAGCGUUGUUCGGAAUUACUGGGCGUAAAGCGCGCGCAGGCGGUUUCUCAAGUCAGUGGUGAAAGCCCGGAGCUCAACUCCGGAACUGCCAUUGAAACUGUGAAACUUGAGGACGAGAGAGGUGAGUGGAAUUCCCAGUGUAGAGGUGAAAUUCGUAGAUAUUGGGAAGAACACCAGUGGCGAAGGCGGCUCACUGGCCCGGUACUGACGCUGAGGUGCGAAAGCGUGGGGAGCAAACAGG